UCUCUGUUAUCCCCGUGAAGAGGGGUUACUGGGGAAACAAGAUCGGUUUGCCUCAUACAGUGCCCUGCAAGGUGACUGGUAAGUGUGGUUCCGUUACUGUGAGGAUGGUUCCUGCACCUCGUGGUGCUGGAAUCGUUGCUGCUCGCGUGCCCAAGAAGGUCCUUCAGUUUGCUGGAAUUGAGGAUGUUUUCACUUCCUCCCGUGGCUCUACUAAGACCCUCGGCAACUUCGUCAAGGUUUGAAUCCUUUACUUCCAAAAUUGGGGAAUGCGCUUUAAUCCAUUGAAGGAUGAUGUUCUGGUUCCUAAUAUUCUUUGGUAUUCUGAAUAUCUGGGGUAAUCAUAUUUGAUGAAAGCUUGGAAUUUUGAAAAGCUAUGCUGAAUUCAAUGUGUAAAGCUGAUAACUUUGGGUAUUGUUUCAUUUAUAUUAGAUGAAUUUACUCUUAAAGGCUUCCAGCUAUGUGUCGGUAGCUAAAAUUUUCGUUAUGGGAUAAGUAUUGGUUGAUUGCUAUUGGAUAUUAGUAAUUUGGGAUGUUCCAAUGUUCUGUGUGUUUUCUUUAUGUAUCAUUACAGAACGUUAAGGUUUCUCUUUGAAGUUUCUCAUUUAUACAAUGUUACCGUUGUUUCAGGCUACCUUUGACUGUCUCCUGAAGACAUACGGAUUCUUGACUCCUGAUUUCUGGAAGGAUACCCGGUUCAGCAAAUCUCCAUUCCAAGAGUACACUGAUCUAUUGGGAAAGCCAACCAAGGCUCUUGUCCUUGAGGAUGUUGAAAGGGUAGCAGAAGCUUGAUUCCAUGUUAUGGGAAAUGUGGUCCGUCUACUUUUUCCAGAAUGUUAAAGAGAAUCCGUGAUAGAGCAAGAGAGGGUAGCAAAUAUUAUAGAUUUCUUUGAACCUUGUUAUCAUUUUGGUUUAUGUUCACGGUGAUUUUGCCUAUGUUCUCGUGACAUAUUUUGUAUUGUUAGCUUCUUUUUGAUCGGUUUGGUUAAGUCAGUAACUACCUUCUUCAAAAAGUGCCGAAUUUUUUGUUUCCUUAUAACAUUGGGUAGUUAAACUUGUAUUAAGUUGAGAAUUAUAACAGCUGCUAUAUUUGUGCGGCCAACUUGCAAAAACAACACUUAAAAAGAAGUGAUUCAGGCUGUCUGGCCACACGCCCCUGGCCAAUUCUUUAUUAGUUCAACAUUUGUAACCACGUGCAUGUACUGCGCGUGGAAUCUUUUACUUUUUUUUUUCUUUUUCUAUUUUAUAAAGUCAAUUAAGGUUACUAUUUCAUUAUUAAUUUGUCCUUCGUACCAAUUUCGUCUCGAAAUAAAGCAUAUAACAAAGAAAAAUAAAAAUGUUCAUCCAAUCAUUCAUAAGUUAGAUUCAUUGAAAAUAAAACAACAAAUUACAAGUUUAGUUAGUUUUAGAGUUGAAGCAGUUACAAUUUUCGAGGCGACUAAAAGACUAAAACCUCAUUUAACCGUCUUCUAUUAUAUACGGAGGGUUGAGAUUAAUUUUUUAUCUCUUUCCAAGACAUACUCAUCUUCUUUAUCAAGUUUUUGUUCAGAUCUAUUAAAUCAUUGGAUUAAUACUUCAAAGUGUUUCUCGCCUUAUAUAACCCAAUCUUUCUUGAUUAUAUUAAGUAAAUCCUAAUAAGACUAAUAUAUCAAUAUAUAAAUUUUUCUUGUAAACAUACAAAAAUAUUUGGUGUCCAAUACUAUCAGAUAGGUUUUUUUUCUCAAUUAGCUCAGUGAGGAAACAUAUAAAUAAAAAGCAGUAAAACCUAAACAUCGGACUGCCAACAAUAUCGCUAGAAUAUAUCCAAGAGAUAAGAAUGUCACAAAAUGGGCGGCUUCAUUAAUUGAACGACGAAUGGUCUGAAGGAGGAUCCCAUCGGCGAACAGUAAGUCCAGUAUGUCUCUGACAAUAAAGCCACCAAAUCUAGAUGAACAUGACCAAUACGUACAUGAUAAGUAACUAACUGAAUAUCACUCUCAAUGUCCACCUAAAAAAAACCAACCCGACAAUACCACAAACAAGCAUCACGAGUGACAUGCAAUAUUACCAAUUAUAGAGGAUCAUACAUACCUGGUUACGUCAUACCAAUCACGUGUAAAAUAGCCCAUGUAGUUACAAACUAAUAUUAAGCAUGAUAAUAAUACAAGGCAUAUAACUACUGAAAAAAAAAUAGAGUUUAACUUCCUGGAAUGAAGUGAGAGAUCCCUAGGAAUUGUCAUGAGACAAUUCUAUGAGCAAUAUGAACUGCUUUAUGCAGGUAAUCCAAGCCUUCCUUAGUAGUAGUACCUACAACUAUAUGAUAGCGUGGAUAAUGUCGUGGCAAACAAAGAAGGAAGAAGAGAAAGGAAAAGAAGACUUGCAACAAUGAAUAAGCAGCCCCAAAUUUUGGCACAAACCACAGAUAGAUGGCGGAGAGGAAGCCAAGGACUUGCCAACCAGUCCCACCUUUACAAAUCCCAACCGGCCGCCGACGUCACUACUACUCCCACUUUCGCUUCUCCACUACUGCUAUCAUUAACGCUGUCGUAUCUCUUGCUCAAGUUGUGACUUCGUAGUUGUCAAUGAUGUAGUAACUUGUGUGAUUCACCAACACCAAACGAGUAUUGAUUGAUGAAUAAGAAUAUAGAGUAUAGAAAACCAGUAGCUGUCCCCUCAAUCAUGCGGGAAAACUAUGAAGCCUGGUCCGGUCAUGGUGCCAGGUCGGUAAACGGAAUAACCGUUGGUGCACAAGGCAAAGACCCACCGGAUUAAGAUCCGGUGAUAAGGCCAUAAAUGGCAAAGGAUGAGGAUGGUGGACAGGAGAAGAGUGGAAGGAAGGGUCGGAGAAAACCCCGAGAGAUACCGGCGGAAGUACGAGAGCAGUUGAGUAGUAACUGCCUCAGAGAACUCUUGGUAUUUGGCAUUUGCAUGGCAGUUCCAUCUUACUACUAUCAGAUAGUUAGAUGCAUGAUUGGUUUUUCAAUAACUCGUGAUAAUUUAUCAAAAUGAAAUAGUGUCAAUGGCUAACCUCUCUAUUACAACAUAACAAACUAACUCCAACAUGAAUCAAGUUGCAUCUAUAUUUUCAGUAUCUUUUCUUUCAACAUAUGCAUGUCAUUACAACCCUCAAUUCUCUCCGAAUUAUCGACAUAUAUAUAUAAUACAAAUAUGCAAUAAAUAAAGAGACAAUGUCAAACCUUCUAAAGUUGCUUGUCUCAUCUUCAUAAAUUAAACCGUCCAAGUUAAAGAAGUCAACUUCAGAGAUGGAGAUUAUAAUAGAUUUGAGUUCAAUCACUCGAGAAACGCUCUUUUAUCAUGCUUGCAACGUUUGAAACACAAACACAAAAUUCCAAAGUAGCAUCAAAUAGACUCCAAACGGAUUGACGGGAAUAAAGAAAACAAUUAAUCAUAAGUAGCCUAAACUACUUAAAACGAAUAUUUUCGGACGAUAACUAACGAUAUACCGUUUUGAAGUCCAAGAGCCCACGGCCCAUAUAUUAAAAGUCCAACAAACUAGGCCAUCAUUUCUUGCCCAUUAAAAACUUGAACUAUGUUGUAGACAUUAAAACCCCUAAACCCACCACGCCGCUUUCCAAUCUUUAUCCACCCUUGCGCACAAACCCUAAUCGUUUCACAGUUUCACUGCAAAUUGAGAAACAAUGUCUGACAGAGUAGCCGGCGGAGACCGACCACCACGCAGAGGGUUCGGCGGUCGUGGUGGAGACCGUGGAGGCAGAGGAGGACGCCGCCGCGGUGGCCGUCGUGAGGAGGAAGAAAAAUGGGUUCCAUGCACCAAGCUGGGUCGUCUGGUGAGGGAAGGUAAGAUCAAAUCCUUGGAGCAGAUCUACCUCCACUCCCUCCCAAUUAAGGAGUACCAGAUCAUCGAUACUCUCGUCGGGCCUUCCCUCAAGGACGAGGUGAUGAAAAUCUCCCCUGUCCAGAAGCAGACUCGCGCCGGUCAGAGGACUCGAUUCAAGGCGUUCGUCGUUGUCGGAGACGGGAAUGGCCACGUCGGAUUGGGCGUGAAGUGCUCCAAGGAAGUUGCUACUGCCAUUCGUGGAGCAAUCAUCCUUGCUAAGCUCUCUGUUAUCCCGGUGAGGAGGGGUUACUGGGGAAACAAGAUCGGUUUGCCUCAUACAGUGCCCUGCAAGGUGACUGGUAAGUGUGGUUCCGUUACUGUGAGGAUGGUUCCUGCACCUCGUGGUGCUGGAAUCGUUGCUGCUCGUGUGCCCAAGAAGGUCCUUCAGUUUGCUGGAAUUGAGGAUGUUUUCACUUCCUCCCGUGGCUCUACUAAGACCCUUGGCAACUUCGUCAAGGUUUGAAUUCUUUCUGUUAUUUUAGAAAUGCCCUUCAAUUGAAUGAUGCUUUUAGGUCUGUCAUAACCGCGAAUCGAUAUCUUUUGAUGAAUCUGUAUUCAUUUGUUUCAACUGCUCUGUUUAUAGGCUUUCAGUUUCCCAUAUAUAUUGUUUGAAGGGAUGAUGUUCUGGUUCAUAAUACAU
RNAcentral lists this long non-coding RNA (4475 nucleotides) under Linum usitatissimum (flax). Its description in RNAcentral is "long non-coding RNA (LUSI_LNC003755)". Lineage: Eukaryota; Viridiplantae; Streptophyta; Magnoliopsida; Malpighiales; Linaceae. The record is from RNAcentral.